AUGGCGAGACGCAGACGGCAGCCAGUGGGAAAGACGCAACUAAGAAAGAUAACUACAGGAGCUUGCUGCAUUGCAGCCGCUCGGCUCCUCACUCCCAACAAUGGCGGCUCCGGGGGCGGCAGCGGCAGCGGGACCCCGGGCCCGAUAGGGUCCCCGGCGCCGGGUCACCCGGCCGUCAGCAGCAUGCAGGGUAAACGCAAAGCACUGAAGUUGAAUUUUGCAAACCCACCUGUCAAAUCUACAGCAAGGUUUACUCUGAAUCCCAAUACAACAGGAGUCCAAAACCCACACAUAGAAUACGGUCAACGGUGGAUGAAAAAGAACAAAAGCAACUACUUAUGGAUUUGGAUGUAGUAAUGCGGAGUAGUGACUGCCCAUACAUUGUUCAGUUUUAUGGUGCACUCUUCAGAGAGGGUGACUGUUGGAUCUGUAUGGAACUCAUGUCUACCUCGUUUGAUAAGUUUUACAAAUAUGUAUAUAGUGUAUUAGAUGAUGUUAUUCCAGAAGAAAUUUUAGGCAAAAUCACUUUAGCAACUGUGAAAGUACUAAACCACUUAAAAGAAAACUUGAAAAUUAUUCACAGAGGUAUCAAACCUUCAAAUAUUCUUCUGGAUAGAAGUGGAAAUAUUAAACUCUGUGACUUUGGCAUCAGUGGACAGCUCGUGGACUCCAUUGCCAAGACAAGGGAUGCUCGGUGUAGGCCAUAUAUGGCACCUGAAAGAAUAGACCCUAGUGCAUCUCUACAAGGAUAUGAUGUCCGCUCUGAUGUCUGGAGUUUGGGGAUCACAUUGUAUGAGUUGGCUACAGGCCAAUUUCCUUAUCCAAAGUGGAAUAGUGUAUUUGAUCAACUAACACAAGUCGUGAAAGGAGAUCCCCCACAGCUGAGUAAUUCUGAGGAAAGAGAAUUCUCCCCAAGUUUCAUCAAUUUUGUCAACUUGGUCGCCUGCUCGGCGUCCCGUCUUUUCUGA
Molecule: RNA transcript, 968 nt
Organism: Octodon degus (degu)
Lineage: Eukaryota; Metazoa; Chordata; Mammalia; Rodentia; Octodontidae
Gene name: dual specificity mitogen-activated protein kinase kinase 4 pseudogene
Exons: 3
Source: RefSeq, a predicted model, not a curated record